GACGAACGCUGGCGGCGUGCCUAAUACAUGCAAGUCGAACGCUUCUUUCCUCCCGAGUGCUUGCACUCAAUUGGAAAGAGGAGUGGCGGACGGGUGAGUAACACGUGGGUAACCUACCCAUCAGAAGGGGAUAACACUUGGAAACAGGUGCUAAUACCGCAUAACAGUUUAUGCCGCAUGGCAUAAGAGUGAAAGGCGCUUUCGGGUGUCGCUGAUGGAUGGACCCGCGGUGCAUUAGCUAGUUGGUGAGGUAACGGCUCACCAAGGCCACGAUGCAUAGCCGACCUGAGAGGGUGAUCGGCCACACUGGGACUGAGACACGGCCCAGACUCCUACGGGAGGCAGCAGUAGGGAAUCUUCGGCAAUGGACGAAAGUCUGACCGAGCAACGCCGCGUGAGUGAAGAAGGUUUUCGGAUCGUAAAACUCUGUUGUUAGAGAGAACAAGGACGUUAGUAACUGAACGUCCCCUGACGGUAUCUAACCAGAAAGCCACGGCUAACUACGUG
RNAcentral lists this ribosomal RNA (507 nucleotides) under uncultured bacterium. RNAcentral's name for it is "partial 16S ribosomal RNA". It matches the Rfam family "Bacterial small subunit ribosomal RNA", at positions 28 to 507 of the family's 1533-position model. The record is from RNAcentral.